This 465-nucleotide ribosomal RNA is filed under the name Vreelandella stevensii. Its description in RNAcentral is "partial 16S ribosomal RNA". It matches the Rfam family "Bacterial small subunit ribosomal RNA", at positions 338 to 795 of the family's 1533-position model. Lineage: Bacteria; Pseudomonadati; Pseudomonadota; Gammaproteobacteria; Oceanospirillales; Halomonadaceae. The record is from RNAcentral.
CCUACGGGAGGCUGCAGUGGGGAAUAUUGGACAAUGGGGGGAACCCUGAUCCAGCCAUGCCGCGUGUGUGAAGAAGGCCCUCGGGUUGUAAAGCACUUUCAGUGAGGAAGAACGCCUGGUGGUUAAUACCCAUCAGGAAAGACAUCACUCACAGAAGAAGCACCGGCUAACUCCGUGCCAGCAGCCGCGGUAAUACGGAGGGUGCGAGCGUUAAUCGGAAUUACUGGGCGUAAAGCGCGCGUAGGUGGCUUGAUAAGCCGGUUGUGAAAGCCCCGGGCUCAACCUGGGAACGGCAUCCGGAACUGUCCAGCUAGAGUGUAGGAGAGGAAGGUAGAAUUCCCGGUGUAGCGGUGAAAUGCGUAGAGCUCGGGAGGAAUACCAGUGGCGAAGGCGGCCUUCUGGACUGACACUGACACUGAGGUGCGAAAGCGUGGGUAGCAAACAGGAUUAGAUACCCUAGUAGUC